Molecule: ribosomal RNA, 1746 nt
Filed under: Aculops sp. NJAUEriHN200
Lineage: Eukaryota; Metazoa; Arthropoda; Arachnida; Trombidiformes; Eriophyidae
Description: bacterial SSU rRNA
Rfam family: Eukaryotic small subunit ribosomal RNA
Source: RNAcentral
UGUAAAGUUCAAGCUCCGAUUUGAGGGCGAACCGCGAAUGGCUCAUUAAAUCAGUCAUAAUCUACUUGAUUGUUAGAGGUUAGAUGGAUAACUGUGGUAAUUCUAGAGCUAAUACAUGCCGAGGCGCGCGACUGUGCGCGGGCAACCGCGUGGAGAAGCGCCGCGUUUAUUAGACUAAGACCAAUGUCGGCCUCGCGCCGACCUCAAAUUGGGUGACUCUGAGUAAACAACGGGUGCAAGCCCGUGAAGCCGACCUGGCGCACAACCGAGCAAUCGGGCCAGGCGAAUCAAUCGAGUGUCUGCUCUAUCAACUGUGGAUGGUAGGGUAAUUGCCUACCAUGGUGAUGACGGGUAACGGGGAGUUAGGGCUCGACUCCGGAGAACAAGCCUGAGAAACGGCUAGUAGGACUAAGGUCUGCAGCAGGCGCGAAACUUACACAAUGCUAGAUUAGCGUAUUUUAGCGAUGUAGUGAAGAAAAAUAACGAUGUGCUUGCAUUUAAACAUGCUUGCACAAUUGGAAUGAGACGACUCUAAACCGGUCAGUCGAGUAACAAAUGGAGGGCAAGUCUGGUGCCAGCAGCCGCGGUAAUUCCAGCUCCAUUAGCAUACAUUAAAGUUGUUGCGGUUAAAAAGCUCGUAGUUGAAUGUAGUGGUUGGGCUGUUGCUGGUGCGGCGUUAAGCGGUUCGCUUCGGCGGGCCGUGUCGCAGUCAGCAGCUGCGCAGCUAGUUUCGUCACUUAAUCGAGUGCGAAGCGGGGCAGGUUGAGGCGCGCGCUCGUCGCCGUCCAUCGUGCCGAGUUUACCUUGAGAAAAUUAGAGUGCUCAGAGCAGGCAGUUGGGGCCUAAAAACCCCUUUAUGCUUGAAUAAUGUUGCAUGGAAUAAUAGAAUACGGCCUCGGUUCUAUUCUGUUGGUCUUAUAGAACAACAAACAAGUUGGAGUGAUCGCUCACGCGGCCGCUAGAGCGUGUUGCCCGUCGAGACCUGUUGUGUGGGAGUCAAAUCCCAGUACCAGCUCGUGGGUAACGCAAAAAGCGUUUUAACGCGCCGCAGAUCGCUUUCCAGCUGAGGCAAUGGUUAAAAGAAAUAGUCGCGGCGGCAUCAGUACUGCAUCGUGAGAGGUGAAAUUCUUAGACCGAUGCAAGACUAACUGAAGCGAAAGCGUUUGCCGAGGAUAUUUUCAUUAAUCAAGAACGAAAGUUAGAGGUUCGAAGGCGAUCAGAUACCGCCCUAGUUCUAACCAUAAACGUUGCCAACUAGCAAUUGGGUUGCGAUUCCUUUAGUGGGCGCCUCAAAAACGCCCACCAUUAUGAUCCACCCAGCGGCUCUCGUAGGGAAACCAAAGUGUUUGGGUUCCGGGGGAAGUAUGAUUGCAAAGUUGAAACUUAAAGGAAUUGACGGAAGGGCACCACCAGGAGUGGAGCCUGCGGCUUAAUUUGACUCAACACGGGGAAACUUACUAGAUUAGAACUCUGGAAUGAUUGACAGAUUGAUAGCUCUUUCUUGAUUCAGAGGAUGGUGGUGCAUGGCCGUUCUUGAUUCGUAUUCCGAAACGUCUGCUUAAUUGCGAUAACGAGUGAGACCUCACCCAACUAACUAGUGCGCGGUUGCGAUGUUGGGGCACCAAAGGUGUUGUUGGAUUCCGGGCGAGUUGGUGGCAACAUCGGCCCGCCUGCCAGCAGCAUCGCUCUCUUCUCGACCCGUGACUUCUUAGAGGGAUAAACGGUGUUUUAGCCGUAAGAAACGAG